RNAcentral lists this small RNA (28 nucleotides) under Bombyx mori (domestic silkworm). RNAcentral's name for it is "ovarian small RNA-16822". The record is from RNAcentral. Lineage: Eukaryota; Metazoa; Arthropoda; Insecta; Lepidoptera; Bombycidae.
GCGACUGAUAGGUGCAAAGUUGUAUGGU